UAUAUAUAUAUAUAUAUAUAUAUAUAUAUAUAUAUAUAUAUAUACGCACACACAGACAUAGGCUACACAUUUAGGCCUACAAGCCGAUUUAUGCAGGUAUUAUUUAACAUUAAUCCAUUUGAACAUUGGUACUGCGAUGAAGACUAGUUGUUAACACAUUUAAAUACAUUUAAAUGUAAUUAUUGCAAGUCCAAUUAAGGGGUGGUAAUUUAUGUAUAGAAAAUAAAGGGAAUUAUAGAAAAAAAAGUAUAACUUUUCAAAUUUUUUAUCUUUUUUGAUUUUAUUGGUUUAUAUCCAUAACUAAAUACGGCGGAUGCUACACAGAACCAAACAUUGCAAAUAUACAUGAAAUUCUAGUAAUUAAUACAUUUUCAGCAUUUAAUUAUUAUUUUAAAAAGUGCAGAUAUGCUAGGAGAGGCUAUGUAUCAUGUUGACAUAUAAUACAAUGUAGUGAGAUUUAUGUUGUUUAAAUAUUUAUAAUCUAAGGUAGGGAUUAAAUACGCGGAGACACGUUAACAAAUGACUCUAACGUUUUUAAUUCGCGUUGUUUUUAACCUACGGAUUUCAGCUCGUAUAUUCAGUGUUGCUGGAAGUAUGAACAUCUUCAGUCCAGCUAUGCAGUUUUCCCGGGGUGAUAAAUAGUGUUUGUGACAAUGAACACAAAUUCACACAGUUAGCCACAAAGUCCAAAGUCAUGCGCAAAGCACAUCAAUAUUUUACAUUGCCCAGAAUUCCCUUUCAAGAGACAAUCAAUGGCUCUUGUUCAUUACCCGGUUGUAUAUCUUCUACGGUUAGCCUUUGUCAUUAGCAAAUCAUUUUCCUAUUUUGAGUCUCACAUAACUUCAGUGGCCCAUACUUUUACAGAUGCCUCCUGGCUAUAAAUACUAAUGAAAUCUCUUUGCUUAAUUUGAUUUUGCUGGUACACUUGCAGUUAUGGCUGAACUUUCCCACGAGAGAAGCUGAUUGAACGUUUUCAAGUCCUUAUGGAGAGCAGAAAACAUUCCACUGAACCAAAGAGAUCAUUUCCAUAAUUAUCCAAUUGGCAGCCUAAUGACCUUCUAGAACAAUAAAAAGAUCUCUUGUUAAUUCCAUUUCUGUUGCUGACAUUCAGGAGAUCCCUAUCUUGCAAGUUGAGGUUCAGAAGAUAACAAGUGUACUCUCUUUUUUCUGCUCUCGUCAAAGAGCAGUCUAUUCAAUUAGGCUCAACAUAUCACUCAGCGGUAAUGAAAAGGCUCUGCUUGUGCUCUAACAUGUCUUCUCCUUCCCAAAGUCGGGUUAUUUAUAGGUUUCCGAGAUUAUAGAAAUGGAUUUUUAAGGCAAUCAAUUUUGAUGUUGCAUUUUGAAUGGUGGAAUUGAAAUGAAGUGCAGAAUAAUUAAAAAGAUCACAAGUCCCUCUUUGCAUGUAAUUAUGACCCCCCCCCCGUCCCCCCCUCCAUCGUGCUGACGGUCCGCUUUUGACAUGGGAGGAAUGACGUACAGUCCAGCGUUCACUGUCAAUCCAGAGCGAUGCGGCUGUGACGGAGCCUUCGACGGAUGCUGUCGUUUUGCGGCGACACGUGAGGACAAAGAGAGAUCCGCCUCGCCGAAAGGAGCGCGCUUACCGCUCCUUGCGUGACUUCCCGAGAGACACGUAGCGGCCGAGAUGGGAUCGCAUUGAUUUCCAAGUUUCUGGUAAUUAAAAUGUGCUUGCAAGCCCAGUCAGCCUCCCAACCACUUUGUAGUGCUGUUUACGCAUCAAAAUAAAGUAUAAACAAUCAUUUUACUCAUAAACGCUACACUUCCUAAUUAUCAUUCCAAGAUACUGGAUAACUGUGCGUUUUAUAGGUUCAUAACACGCUCUUUUCGCACUUAGGCAACGGUUUACACAUUUUUUUAAUGCUAUGAUACAUUGAUGGGAUUAAAUGCGCUUUUAUUGAGCUCAGGUGGAAUUCUGGGAUUUGUUUCAGUGCUAGAAGCUGUAGCUGCUUAGUAAAAAGAAGUAACACAAAGUAGAUGCUUGCCUGUGUUGUAGAUUUUUUUUUCAUAUUUAUCCCUAAAUGUUAGUAAUUAUUAAAUUAUACAUCAGUAAUUAUUAAAUAUAAGUAAUGCACUGGGUUAAGGGCAUGCAGAGAGUGCAAGAUUAAUGCAUUCCAUAAUAAUAUUCACCUCUGGUCAUAUUGUUUCCUUUAUCAACAGGUACAGGAAUUUUCUAAACCAAAACUCUAAGUGGAUGUUUAAGCACUUGGUGGAAAUAUGCUGUAAAUAAGUCAAAGGUGUACAUGAAUAAUGCUGGAUGAUGUCUGUUCAACUCCAUUGUAUGGGCUGCUGUUGCCAUGGUAAACCCCAAUAGGACAGUAAUCCCAAUGUCUGUGUCUGAUAUCAACUAAAUUAGACUUUACUCACAUGUGUUUAGUGUUGUAUAAGCACAUAAAUAAAUAAAAGUAAAUUUGGACAAACAUGCAUAUUUUCCUAAGUUAACCACCAGAUAGUGGUUAGGAUGGGCAAUAAGAUGGACAUUUCAAUUUUUUUGUAAGAAAUUAUGUUUAUGUAAUGGUCACUGUAGCCCUGUAGUAAGCAACUAUAGAAGAAGAAUGGAUUUAUGUAUCUCUUUAAUUUUCUUAAUGCAGUUUAAAAUAUCUUUACAAAACAUUGCUAGUAAUUGAAAAGAAAUCAUCAAAGUCAUAUGGAUUAAAAGUCCGCUGGUGAGUGGCAACAAGGGGCUAAGUGGUCAGGCACUAACUACAGGGACUGGUCGGCUGUUCAGGUUAUGAGUAUUAUUUAAACACAUAAUAAAAUCAUGGCAGGCCAGUAGCAAACCGCCUUCUUGGCUGUUCACGGGCGGCACCGUACCGCCACGGCACCAAAGGCCCCGGAAACCCGCCACCCAGAUCAUGUGAGUUAACAUGAGGCCUCAGAACAGAAAACUCAAUUAUCAUGUUAAAAUUCUGCAUGAAAACAAUCUAUACUAGAGAUUAGGAGUAUUCCUGUCAGAUGACUUACAUUGCACUAAUUGCAUUUAGAACAAGCAACCCUUUUGUGAAUGUUAUUAAAUGUUUACAAAGUGCUUAAUGCGCCGAAUGCAAUCAUAGAUCCUGUUGGUAAUUGUAGGCCAGUGGCAGCAGCCAGGUCUGGCCAGAAGACCUUCUGAAGGGGGUCAUCUACAGGAUCAAAGCCUUCUUCUUUAAAUAAACUCACACUUUCAUACA
Molecule: non-coding RNA, 3185 nt
Organism: Paramormyrops kingsleyae
Lineage: Eukaryota; Metazoa; Chordata; Actinopteri; Osteoglossiformes; Mormyridae
Source: RefSeq, a predicted model, not a curated record